RNAcentral lists this long non-coding RNA (8196 nucleotides) under Fragaria vesca (wild strawberry). Its description in RNAcentral is "long non-coding RNA (FVES_LNC003457)". The record is from RNAcentral. Lineage: Eukaryota; Viridiplantae; Streptophyta; Magnoliopsida; Rosales; Rosaceae.
UAAAAAUUAGUUUUGUCACAUCCCGACUCUUAAAGUUUUACCCUAAUUAGUUGCAUGAUAUUAAUAAAUUUUUUUACCGUCUUUGUUAAUGAAUUUAUAGUUUCAAAGAACCCUAGAGUUGUUUUGAGGAACGUUUAUUUCAAUGAAUUUAUUACGUAGGAGGAUUUGUUGAAAGCAGUAAAAAAGGUAAUUUUAGUUAGUAAAAAUAUAAUUUUUAUUAGAGUAUGUUUUUAGAGUGUUUUUGGAGUUUGAGUUUUUAAGUUGCAGUGGAUUGGUGAACCAGUUUGAGAAAAGCCCAAACACUUCUCUCUUCUCUCUCUCCUCCCUCCCGACUCUCUCUCUCCCUGCUGGAAAGUCUCCGCCCCUGUCCGACGCCGUCCGGCCGAACUGGGCCGCCGCACCGGUCCCGUUUGGACCGCCGUCACCUCCUUUCUCUUCCUGGGUUGGUGGCAGCGCCUCUCUCGCCGCCGAUCGAUAGAUAUCACGGCAAGAAGCUCAACCACUCUCUCGCCGGAACUCCCUCUACGGCCGCCAUAGCCGCCGAUUCUUGUCUCAUCUUCAAGCCCUCAUCUUGUGUAGCAAAACCUCAAAAGGAAUCGAUCCCAUUCGUGCUAGAUAGGUAGGUUCGACGGUUUGAAUACCUAGGGCUUGAAUUUGGGAUUUUUACUGUUUUAAGUCGAUUACCCUAUCUAGGCUAGGAAUUGGUGUUUGUGGUAGUUAUGAAAGUUGUUUAGAUUGUUGAGAGGAUGAUUGUGCUAAAAUUUGGUGGGCACUGGAGGUGAUCGGAAAAAGGCAGCCGGCCGCCGCUGCCGGCGGAGCAGACGGCGGCGACGCCUCUUUUAGGUAGUUUUUCAGGUUAAUAAGUUUAUUAUGUUGAGAGGAGUUUAAUGAUGUGUAGUUCGUAAUUUUUGGAGGAGUUUUGGAUAGGAAUGGGAUUUUUCAAAGAUUGAUGAACUUAGCGGUUAAUAGGGUAGAAUCCGGCAGUUGGAUUAAUAUUUUUUAAACUGUAAAAAUUUAUUAUAAGGCUGCCGGUGCUUGUGGUGAAGUUCGGGCCUUAUCGAAUUAAGGAUAGCGAAGUGGGGCAAGGAUGAGCAUGUAUAAGGCUCACUUUUAAUUUUGCCUAUUUUAUAAGUGUCGAAUUUUGGAGAAACUUUUAUAGCAGAUAUGCAUGAGAGAUGGGGCGUCAACAACUAGUGUAGGUACUUGGCAUUAUUUAUAUAGACCAGGUGCAAGGUUGUUAGGACUUAAAUUAGGUUCUCCUGGGAACAUGUUACCAGAUUUUGUAAUAAGCAGGCUUUAUUUUUGGUAAAUACUUGGGAUCACAAUAGUAGGAAGUUUUAGGAGUAGACUUGGGUGUAUUGAGGAUAGUUUGAGGUUUUAGAAUCUAGUGCAGUAUGAGAAGAUGAAAUGCAUUUUCGUGCAUUAUGUUCGACAGUGUAAUCAUUUGGCUGAGUUGAGAGAUUUACAAUUUUCAAGUUUUCUUUGGUAGGUAAUAUAUAGCUAUAGGUAGAGAAGUUUUUGAGAUAUUUUCGAGAAUUGAGAUUAUUUUGAGCAAGUGAUUCAUAGGAGGGAAUUGUGGAAGGAAGAAAGUCUAUACUUGGAGAGUUGAGAUCAGAUAUGGAAUGCAAGCAGUUAAUUGUAGCAUAUUUAGAUUCAAGGUUUUGGAAACUAGAGUUAUUCAAGUACAAGUCAUAAUUUUUAGAUUCAAGGUUUUAUAAAUUUCGGGGACAAAAUUUCUCUAAGGAGUAAAGUAUGUUGUUAAGCCAUAUGAUAGCUUUGUGUUUAAAAUUAAAUGUGUGCUUAUGGAUAGGAUUGUGAGUUGUAUUCGGAUAUCUUUUUCUAUGCUAAAGUACAUACUAUUGUUACAUGAAGCAUAAAGUACAUACUAUUGUUUACAUGAGUUAGGCUUUACUAGGCUUUGUUGCUUAAGAUAGUUUAUGUAAGAUUAGCAAUUGUUCUCUGGUGAUCAAGUGAUAGAUGUGCAAAUUAGGAUUAUGAUCAAGUUAUUUGCAUAAUAUUUUGGUAAUGGAAAGUAGACUCGGAGGUUCUAGGUCAUUGUUGAUGUUGUGGAAUAGAUCAAAAUGUACAUACUAUGAGAAGUAGUUUCGGCAGAUCACUUGGAGUACUAAACUUGUUAUGGAGAAUUGUUGUUUUGAAGAGAUAUUUAAUAGUUUUGGAGAAACUUUUAUAGCAGAGAUGCAUGAGAGGAGAUGGGGCUUCAACAACUAGUAUGUAAGUACUUAGGGAUUAUUUAUAAAGACCAGGUGCAAGGUUAUUAGGAGUUAAAUUAAGGUUCUCCUAGCAACAUGUUACCAUAUUUUGUGAUAAGCAGGGUUUAUUUUUGGUAAAUACUUGGGAUCACAAUAGUAAGAAGUUUGAGGAGUAGGAUUGGGCGUAUUGAGGAUAGUUUGAGAUUCUUGACUCUAGUGCAGUAUGAGAAGAUGAAAUGCAUUUUCAUGCAUUAUGUUAGACAGAAAUCAUUUGGCUGAAUUGAGAGAUUUACAAUUUUCAAGUUCUCUUUGGUAGGUAAUAGGUAUAGAAGUUUUUGAGAUAUUUUAGAGGAUUGAGAUUAUUUUGAGCAAGUGAUUCAUAGGAGAGAAUUAUGGAAGGAAGAAAGUCUAUGCUAGGAGAGUUGAGAUCAGAUAUGGAAUGCAAGCGGUUAAUUUUAGCAUAUUUGGACAGAGUAAGAGUUAUUUAAGUCAUGAAUCCCUCAUCUACGGUUAGUGGAAAUAGACAAGUGAAUGAUGUUGUCCGAAUAUCGCAAUUGAGGAUUUGGAAACUAGAGAUGUGUGGUUGGCUGAAUUCAAGUACAAGUCAUAAUUUUUAGAUUUAAGGUUUUUUAAAUUUCGGGGACAAAAUUUCUCUUAGGAGUAGAGAGAAGAAAGUAAGUGAGGAUUAGGAGUACGAAAGAAGUAAGAAAACAAAGGGGAGACUAAAGAAGAAACAGAAUUAGGAUUAGAAAUAGAAAGAGGAAGGAGAAACAUGAGACGUGAGACUUGAGAGAGUUAUCUGAAAAUGAAGAAGGAAGUAGCAGAUUAGUUCUGUCCAUUUUGUGUCAGGAUUCAAAGGUGAAUUCAAUCCUAUUAGCUAUUUUGAUUUACAUUCUUGCUGUUAUGUUUAGCGAAAUUCUUUUCUAAGGGCUUAAGCUUAUGCACAGUUAAUGAUUUCAAUGUUUGUUAAAACAGAAUUUAAGCAUAAGAACAUGUUGAGAUGCUUAGCAACAUUAUCCUGCAAAUUUAGGUGUCCUUAGUAGUUCUUAGUAACUGUUUGGAUUAGAAUUCUUAUUCUGUUUUAACAACAGGAUAUCAGGAAGCUAUGUGCAGCAUGUAUUUAGUAAUCUGAGAGUAAGUAGCAACCUCAGAUUAUAGCUUGUAGGCAUUGGAGAAAGCUAGAACAAGUGUAUACUUGGUUGUAAUCCUUUAAUUAAUUUUGAGCAGCUAUAUCUUUUUAUUUAGACCUUCAUUUCAGAUUCUAUUUGCAUGUAUUGAAAGCUUAUAAUUUACUCUAAAUAUCUGUGUAGUUUCAUGCAAUUUCGUUUAGAAUUCGUUGGUCAAGUUUGAAGUUGAAAAUAUAGUUGUACAUUCUGCAAAUCAGCUUUCAUGAGUUUUGGUGUCAGUCACUUUGUUUCAAAAGCUGUAUAUUUGGAUUGGUUAUUUGAAGUUGGUUUCUUCAUAAAAGUUGUAGCAUACAUCUUAAAUAUUGUUCCAGAAUUUGAUUCACUUUAAUAGUAUUAUUUAUACAGACCAGGUGCAAGGUUAUUAGGUGUUAUAUUAGGUUCUCCUAGGAACAUGUGACUAGAUUUUGUGAUAAGCAGGCUUUAUUUUUGGUAAAUACGUGGGAUCAGAAUAGUAGGAUGUUUGAGGGCUAGGCUUCGGCGUUUGAGGAUAGUUUUAGAAUCUGGUGCAUUAUUUGAAGAUGAAAUGCAUUUUUGUGCAUUAUGUUCGACAGUAAUUAUUUGGGUGAGUUGAGAGAUUUACAAUUUUCAUGUUUUCUUUGGUAGGUAAUAUGUGGCUAUAGGUACAGAAGUUUUUGAGAUAUUUUCGAGGGUUGAGAUUAUUUUGAGCAAGUGAUUCAUAGGAGGGAAUUGUGGAAGGAAGAAAGUCCAUACUUGGAGUGUUGAGAUCAGAUACGGAAUGCAUGGAGUUAAUUUUUGCAUAUUUGGACAAAACUAAGAGUUAUUUAUGUCAUGAAUCCCUUAUCUACGGUUAGUGGAAAUAGACAAGUGAUUGGUGUUAAUUCGAUUGAUUUGCUAUGUGAUCUUUAUAUAAAGCAUAAAUUACAUACUAUUGUUUACAUGAGUUAGGCUGUAUUAGGCUUUGUUGCUUAAGAUAGUUUCUGUAAGAUUAGCAAUUGUUCUCUGGUGAUCAAGUGAAUGAUGUGCAAAUUUGGAUUAUGGUGAAGUUAUUUGCAUAAGAUUUUGGUAAUGGAAAGUAGACUCGGAGGUUCUAUGUCAUUGUUGAUGUUGUAGAAUAGAUCAAAAUGUACAUACUUUGAGAAGUAGUUUCGGCAUAUCACUUACUAAACUAGGUAUGGAGAAUUGUUGAAGAGACAUUUAAUUGUUUUGGAGAAACUUUUUUAGCAGAGACAUGCAUGAGAGUUGGGGCUUCCACAACUACUCUGUAUGUACUCGGGGAUUAUUUACGCAGACCAGGUGGAAGGUUAUUAGUAGUUAAAUUAGGUUCUCCUAGGAACAUGUUACCGGAUAUUGUGAUAAGCAGGCUUUAUUUUUGGUAAAUACAUAGGGGUCACAGAAGUAGGAAGUUUGAGGAGUAGGCUUGGGCGUAUUGAGGAUAGUUUGGGGUUCUAGAAUCUGGUGCAGUAUGAGAAGAUGAAAUGCAAUUUCGUGCAUUAUGUUUGACAGUAAUCAUUUGGCUGAGUUGAGAGAUUUACAAUUUUGAAGUUUUCUUUGGUAGGUAAUAUAUAGCUAUAGGUACAUAUGAUUUUGAGAUAUUUUCGACGAUUGAGAUUAUUUUGAGGAAGUAAUUCAUAGGACGGAAUUGUGGAAGGAAGAAAGUCUAUACUUGGAGAGUUGAGAUCAGAUAUGGAAUGCAAGCAGUUAAUUUAGCAUAUUUGGUUAUUUAAGUCAUGAAUCCCUCAUCUACGGUUAGUGGAAAUAGACAAGUGAAUGGUGUUGUCCGAAUAUCGCCGGUGAGGAUUUUGGAAACUAGAGAUGUGUGGAUGGCUGUAUUCAAGUACAAGUCAUAAUUUUUAGAUUUAAGGUUUCAUAAAUUUCGGGAACGAAAUUUCUCUAAGGAGGAUGGAGUGUGACAACCCGGAAUUUUAAUAUAUAUACCUUUGUAAUUAUAAAGUUGCUUAUAUAUUAUAAAUAUCUUCGUUUAGUGUUAUAUAUAUACAUGCUGAAAUCUAAUAUAGUUACAUAGUUUCUUUUGCUUUUCCAAGAACAAAACUACUAUAAAUAGAAGCUGUGUACUAGUUUCUUAUACACAUGCGGUAUUGACAAAGGAUUAGAGAGAAAAAAGUAAGUGAGGAUUAGGAAAAUGAAAGAAGUAUGAAAACAAUGGAGAGAGAAGGGAGGAGACUAAAGAAGAAACAUAAUUAGGAUUAGAAAUAGAAAGAGGAAGGAGAAAAUGAGACGUGAGACUUGAGAGAGUUAUCUGAAAAUGAAGAAGGAAGUAGCAGAUUAGUUCUGUCCAUUUUGGGUCAGGAUUCAAAGGUGAAUUCAAUCCUAUUAGCUAUUUUGAUUUACAUUCUUGCUGUUAUGUUUAGCAUAAUUCUUUUCUAAGGGCUUAAGCUUAUGCACAGUUAAUGAUAUAUAAUGUCUGUUAAAACUGAAUUUAAGCAUAAGAAGAUGUUGAGAUGCUUAGCAACAUUAUCCUGCAAUUUUGGGUGUCCUUAGUAGUUCUUAGUUACUGUUUGGAUUAGAAUUCUUAUUUUGUUUUAACAACAGGAUAUCUGGAAGCUGUGUGCAGCAUGAAUUUAGUAAUCUGACAGUAAGUAGCAACCUCACAUAUUAGCUUGUAGGCAUUGGAGAAAGCUAGAACAAGUUUAUACAUGGUUAUAAUCCUUUAAUUAUCUUUGAGCAGUUAUAUCUUUUUAUUUUGACCUUCAUUUCAGAUUCUAUUUGCAUAUAUUGAAAGCUUAUAAUUUAGGCUAAAUAUCUGUCUAGUUUCGUGCAAUUUCAUUUAGAAUUCCUUUGUCAAGUUUGAAGUUGAAAAUAUAGCUGUACAUUCUGCGGAUCAGUUUUUCUGAGUUUUGGAGUCAGUCACUUUGUUUGAAAAGCUGUAUAUUUAGAUUGGUUAUCUUAAGUUGGUUUCUUCGUAAUAGCUGUAGCAGACAUUAAAUAUUGUUCCAGAACUUGAAUCACUUCAAAAGGAAUUGUUUAGAUUAAGAUAUGAUUUUUAAAAGUUGAGGGUCUGCAGUAAAAAAUUCUGCAGAUCAGUUUUCUGAGUUUUUGACUUUUUACUAAAAUCUGUGCAUUUCAGUUGAGUAUUUGAAGUUGUUGUCUUCAUAAAAGUUAUAGUACACAUGUUAUACAACAUUCCUGAAUUUGAAUCUCUUAAUAAGGAGUUUUGUAGAUUGAGUUAUGAUUUUCCGAAGUUGAGAGUCUGCAUCAGGAAACACUGCAUUUCUUAUUAUUUUACUGUUUGUUCCUUUUGAUUUCAAUGUAUUCUUUCAUUCAAACUAGUUUAGAUUCAUCACAAACUGGACACACACAUUCUCAACUUUCAAACAAAGCUUGUGAGUUUAUUUUCGAAAUUUAUUUGAGAUACUUAUGCCAUUUUGAAAUCAGCUAUGUGUAACAGUUUUUCUUCAAAAUAAAUCUACAUCACAUUUUGCUUAGUUAUCUAGCCCGUCAAAUGUUAUCUUAAUGGCCUGAGAUUUUAGGUACUAUGUUUUUGAGACUGCUUUAAAGUAAAGUAUGUUGUUAAGCCAUAUGAUAGCUUUGUGUUUAAAAUUAAAUGUGUGCUUGUGGAUUGGAUUGUGAAUUGUAUUCGAAUAUCUUUUUCUAUGCUAAAGUACAUACUAUUGUUACAUGAAGCAUAAAGUACGUACUAUUGUUUACAUGAGUUAGGCUUUACUAGGCUUUGUUGCUUAAGAUAGUUUAUGUAAGAUUAUCAAUUGUUCUCUGGUGAUCAAGUGAUGGAUGUGCAAAUUAGGAUUAUGAUCAAGUUAUUUGCAUAAUAUUUUGGUAAUGGAAAGUAGACUCGGAGGUUCUAGGUCGUUGUUGAUGUUGUGGAAUAGAUCAAAAUGUACGUACUAUGAGAAGUAGUUUCGGCAGAUCAUUUGGAGUACUAAACUUGUUACGGAGAAUUGUUGUUUUGAAGAGAUAUUUAAUAGUUUUGGAGCAACUUUUAUGGCAGAGAUGCAUGAGAGGAGAUGGGGCUUCAACAACUAGUCUGCAAGUACUUUUGGAUCAUUUAUAAAGACCAGGUGCAAGGUUAUUAGGAGUUAAAUUAAGGUUCUCCUAGCAACAUGUUACCAUAUUUUGCGAUAAACAGGCUUUAUUGUUGGUAAAUACUGGGGAUCACAAUAGUAAGAAGUUUGAGGAGUAGGAUUGGGUGUAUUGAGGAUAGUUUGAGAUUCUUGACUCUGGUGCAGUAUGAGAAGAUGAAAUGCAUUUUCGUGCAUUAUGUUCAACAGAAAUCAUUUGGCUGAGUUGAGAGAUUUACAAUUUUCAAGUUCUCUUUGGUAGGUAAUAGGUAUAGAAGUUUUUGAGAUAUUUUAGAGGAUUUAGUUUAUUUUUAGCAAGUGAUUCAUAGGAGAGAAUUAUGGAAGGAAGAAAGUCUAUGCUAGGAGAGUUGAGAUCAGAUAUGGAAUGCAAGCUGUUAAUUUUAGCAUAUUUGGACAGAGUAAGAGUUAUUUAAGUCAUGAAUCCCUCAUCUACGGUUAGUGGAAAUAGACAAGUGAAUGAUGUUGUCCGAAUAUCGCAAUUGAGGAUUUGGAAACUAGAGAUGUGUGGCUGGCUGAAGUCAUGUACAAGUCAUAAUUUUUAGAUUUAAGGUUUUAUACAUUUCGGGGACAGAAUUUCUUUAUGGAGUAGAGAGAAGAAAGUAAGUGAGGAUUAGGAGUACGAAAGAAGUAAGAAAACAAAGGGGAGACUAAAGAAGAAACAGAAUUAGGAUUAGAAAUAGAAAGAGGAAGGGGAAACAUGAGACGUGAGACUUGAGAGAGUUAUCUGAAAAUGAAGAAGGAAGUAGCAGAUUAGUUCUGUCCAUUUUGUGUCAGGAUUCAAAG